Molecule: non-coding RNA, 80 nt
Organism: Hymenopellis radicata
Lineage: Eukaryota; Fungi; Basidiomycota; Agaricomycetes; Agaricales; Physalacriaceae
Source: the annotation of a GenBank genome assembly
GGCCUUAUGGUCUAGUCGCAUGAUUCCUCGUUUGGGUUGGACAAUCGAGGAGGUCCUGGGUUCAAUUCCCAGUGAGGCCC